Molecule: unclassified non-coding RNA, 987 nt
Filed under: Hevea brasiliensis (rubber tree)
Lineage: Eukaryota; Viridiplantae; Streptophyta; Magnoliopsida; Malpighiales; Euphorbiaceae
Source: RNAcentral
GCUCUUCUUGGCGAUGUUCCUAGUAUGUUCAUUACUAAGCAUUCAAGUUGACUUGUUUAUCUUAUCCAAUUUAAUCAGUCUUACAAUAAAUUGGCCAUCAAAUUUAUCAAUAUUGUUUUUGCAGUUGUAAGAGUUUAUUUUGCACCUCUUAUGGUAUUCACUGUGCCUGCAUUUUUUACUAAUCAUAUGUUACUGUUUUCUUUUGGUCAUCCGCUUGCAACUUUUGCAAAAUUUAUUCAGAAGUGGCAAUGUGUCAAUGGUGUUUGACAUCUUCAUGGUAUUGUAUGCUUUUGAGGUGAAUAACUUUUGUGGAUUCUGCAUAUGAUAUUCUUUUGGGUGUUUGUUAACCACCAGUGAAUAUGUGUUGUACAUAUCCUGAAGCAGAGUUUUUUACUUCAAAUGAUACUAUGCACAUAGAUUGAUGGUACGAUAGAAUAAAUGCUUCAUCAGGAAAACCUUAGGUGCUAUGAAUUUAACCUAGCAGUGCUUGGCAUCUUUCUCAUUUUCUCUGGUCCACUAGAAGUUUAAAAAUCCUGGUGGUAACAAAUGAGAGCAUUUGUAUUAUUGUGGAGAAAGAUUUGUUCAAACUCUAGAAAAUGUUAAGCCUUGGGAAACACAAGCUAUUAUCAUUCUCUAAUAUUCUGAGGAGUUCAUUAAGACACAUGCAGAAUUCUGAUAGAAAUUGAUGCUAAUUGCUAUAUCAAUCUCCUGUUCUGACUAGAUAAAUCAUAGACUUAGGAAAACUAAUCUGAUAAAGUUUUUUUUUUCCUCUUUUAUAAAUGCUUGAUUAGGAAAGUUGAUUCUACACUGGUAUGAAAAUUUACGCACUUCAAUUUUGUAUUUUUCUUGGCAAUUGUGCCAAAUAUUUUUAUAUAUAUUUCUACCCUCACUCUCUCCCUUUCUCUCAGUGCUUUUCAUUUUGUUCUUGCAUUCAUUUUUGCAUUUUGUUAUUGUGUCUGCCAGGUGUGGAUGUGAAGAAGAAUGUAA